AUGACUCUGAGAGAGGAGGCUACAGCCCUGCAGGCAGGGUUACAGCAGCGGACGGCAGAGCUGGAGCGGAAGUUGGACACAGUGGUGUUGGCGAUGGGAGGGCUCGGACUGCUGAGUGAACACAGUGGCCAAACCCCACACUCUGAGGUUAAAGUUGCAGGCUGUCAGUCUGCGACGGGUGCUGAGCGAGUACCUGUUUCCUCUGCUGUCCUCCUCUCACCACCUCAACAGCGGGACCACUUUCAGCAUGUUCCUGCAACUUAUCCUGCGCCACCGCACCAGCAGCUUCCUGCUGUCGAUCUCCUGCACUCCUAUGGGACCUCCGCGCUCACAGCUCAGACUCUAGUCUCAACAGUCUGCCCCUAGUUCAGCUUCCCUCUGCUUCCUCGCUAUCGCUGACCCCUGACCCUCUUCGCUCACAGAGGUCUCCGGGCACAGUGCUAGCUGAGAUUGCUCAGCUGAGCAGAGAGACCGAUCUUAUCAGGGCUCAACUCAGCCAGGCAAAGGGCCUCGGGUCAGGGGUCAGAGAAUCGCUCGACAGUGGCAAUGAGAGAAGAGGGUUGAGCUGCAGCAGCACCGGGAGAGUAACACCUCAGAGCGCUGCAGAGAGCAGGAUGUCUGGGUCCAGCUGUAAAGAGAGGUGUAGCCAGCAUGUGUGGACUCCUGAAGAACAACAGCUGACUCAACAGGUGAGAUUUAAGGGGUUGUUUGAAGCUCUCUGAGAGGAGCUCACCUUUUAGAAGUGGAGUAGUGGCUGCUCUUAUCCUCCCUUCAUAGCGUGAUGCGACAGGUGUGUCGAGGAAUGAACUGCGCUGAGCCUUUAGGUGGCCUACUCAUUCAGAUAUAGUAAUGAUUCAAAUACAGUGUGUGUCUUGUUUUUUGUUGGGGUU
RNAcentral lists this long non-coding RNA (890 nucleotides) under Oreochromis niloticus (Nile tilapia). Its description in RNAcentral is "lncRNA (ENSONIG00000031501.1)". Lineage: Eukaryota; Metazoa; Chordata; Actinopteri; Cichliformes; Cichlidae. The record is from RNAcentral.